Molecule: long non-coding RNA, 1877 nt
Organism: Leptidea sinapis
Lineage: Eukaryota; Metazoa; Arthropoda; Insecta; Lepidoptera; Pieridae
Exons: 5
Source: RefSeq, a predicted model, not a curated record
GUCUCACCGCACUGCCCAGCAGCGACGAUCACUGCAAGAUGUGCGAGUGUGUUGUGACCACCGCUGUUCUGACUGGCCACGCCCCCUCUGAGUGAUCACUGCCCCUACACAAAUACCACAGGUACUAUAUGAGCCUUGGCGUCUCACCACACUGCCCAGCAGCGACGAUCACAGCAAGCUGUGCGAGUGUGUUGUGACCACCGCUGUUCUGACUGGCCACGCCCCCUCUGAGUGAUCACUGCCCCUACACAAAUACCACAGGUACUAUAUGAGCCUUAGCGUCUCACCGCACUGCCCAGCAGCGACGAUCACUGCAAGAUGUGCGAGUGUGUUGUGACCACCGCUGUUCUGACUGGCCACGCCCCCUCUGAGUGAUCACUGCCCCUACACAAAUACCACAGGUACUAUAUGAGCCUUAGCGUCUCACCGCACUGCCCAGCAGCGACGAUCACUGCAAGAUGUGCGAGUGUGUUGUGACCACCGCUGUUCUGACUGGCCACGCCCCCUCUGAGUGAUCACUGCCCCUACACAAAUACCACAGGUACUAUAUGAGCCUUAGCGUCUCACCGCACUGCCCAGCAGCGACGAUCACUGCAAGAUGUGCGAGUGUGUUGUGACCACCGCUGUUCUGACUGGCCACGCCCCCUCUGAGUGAUCACUGCCCCUACACAAAUACCACAGGUACUAUAUGAGCCUUAGCGUCUCACCGCACUGCCCAGCAGCGACGAUCACUGCAAGAUGUGCGAGUGUGUUGUGACCACCGCUGUUCUGACUGGCCACGCCCCCUCUGAGUGAUCACUGCCCCUACACAAAUACCACAGGUACUAUAUGAGCCUUAGCGUCUCACCGCACUGCCCAGCAGCGACGAUCACUGCAAGAUGUGCGAGUGUGUUGUGACCACCGCUGUUCUGACUGGCCACGCCCCCUCUGAGUGAUCACUGCCCCUACACAAAUACCACAGGUACUAUAUGAGCCUUAGCGUCUCACCGCACUGCCCAGCAGCGACGAUCACUGCAAGAUGUGCGAGUGUGUUGUGACCACCGCUGUUCUGACUGGCCACGCCCCCUCUGAGUGAUCACUGCCCCUACACAAAUACCACAGGUACUAUAUGAGCCUUAGCGUCUCACCGCACUGCCCAGCAGCGACGAUCACUGCAAGAUGUGCGAGUGUGUUGUGACCACCGCUGUUCUGACUGGCCACGCCCCCUCUGAGUGAUCACUGCCCCUACACAAAUACCACAGGUACUAUAUGAGCCUUAGCGUCUCACCGCACUGCCCAGCAGCGACGAUCACUGCAAGAUGUGCGAGUGUGUUGUGACCACCGCUGUUCUGACUGGCCACGCCCCCUCUGAGUGAUCACUGCCCCUACACAAAUACCACAGGUACUAUAUGAGCCUUAGCGUCUCACCGCACUGCCCAGCAGCGACGAUCACUGCAAGAUGUGCGAGUGUGUUGUGACCACCGCUGUUCUGACUGGCCACGCCCCCUCUGAGUGAUCACUGCCCCUACACAAAUACCACAGGUACUAUAUGAGCCUUAGCGUCUCACCGCACUGCCCAGCAGCGACGAUCACUGCAAGAUGUGCGAGUGUGUUGUGACCACCGCUGUUCUGACUGGCCACGCCCCCUCUGAGUGAUCACUGCCCCUACACAAAUACCACAGGUACUAUAUGAGCCUUAGCGUCUCACCGCACUGCCCAGCAGCGACGAUCACUGCAAGAUGUGCGAGUGUGUUGUGACCACCGCUGUUCUGACUGGCCACGCCCCCUCUGAGUGAUCACUGCCCCUACACAAAUACCACAGGUACUAUAUGAGCCUUAGCGUCUCACCGCACUGCCCAGCAGCGACGAUCACUGCAAGAUGUGCGAGUGUGUUGUGA